GUUAAGUCCUCCUUCCCAACAUGGCGCAGUCUAUUAACAUCACGGAGCUGAAUCUGCCGCAGCUAGAAAUGCUCAAGAACCAGCUGGACCAGGAAGUGGAGUUCUUGUCCACGUCCAUUGCCCAGCUCAAAGUGGUACAGACCAAGUAUGUGGAAGCCAAGGACUGUCUGAACGUGCUGAACAAGAGCAACGAGGGUAUGGGGUAGGCGGGUGAGGGUAACCUAAAGUGGCGAGCCAGUUUCUCUCGUCCCACCUCCUAACCCAGUUUUUCUUACCUGAAACGAGAAAAUCCAUUACAUUUCGCAUACUGCUUCAUGAACCCUUUGCAUGUUGCCUACCUAGAAUUGAAAUGUACAGGACAUUCCUCUGCUCCUAUUGCCCCUGUUUCCGUUCUUUUCACACUGUCUGUGGGUGCUGUGCCCUGUUGGAACUCUCUUUAACGUCUUACGUUGGAGCCGCUAACCUUCCCCAGGUGUUUGUCUUCAUUGCUUUCACAGGGAAAGAAUUACUCGUCCCACUGACGAGUUCUUUAUAGGUAUUGUUCUAAGGCCUCCAGAUUAUUCAGUCCUUAUGCCUUGUAGCUUUUUGGAAAAGGAGG
RNAcentral lists this small RNA (598 nucleotides) under Pongo abelii (Sumatran orangutan). RNAcentral describes it as "retained intron". The record is from RNAcentral. Lineage: Eukaryota; Metazoa; Chordata; Mammalia; Primates; Hominidae.